ACACAUCUAACCACUCUUCAGCUGAUAUCCACUUGCUGACAAAUGAAUCUCUCUGGCCCCUGGACUGUGCCCUGAAACACAGCUUAAAACAGCAGAAUGAACAGUAAUCCCAGAGAUCCUGAGAUGAGAAAAGGGUGUUUGACUUAUUCAAAGAAGACCAAGGAAGCCCAAAGACCAGAGAAGAGUGCAGGAAAGGGGCGGCGGUCUGAGAUGCAGUCAGAGCAGUGGCAAGCCCCCAGAGUCUGUGGCAAAGACUUCAGGUUUCAUCCUGAAGAGGAAGACAGGUCUUUGGAGAGUUUUGAUCAAGGAAGUGAGAUGAAAUAUCUUAGGCUUACAAAGAACUACUCUGACAUCUAAAUGGAAAAUGGACUGAUGAAGCAAAAGAAGCCACAAGGAAGCCAGUUCAGAGGCUAUUGAAAUGCUCCAGAUACUCAGAGAGUGAGAGCCUUCAGAUUUGGGUGAGUGAUGCCAUUAGAACCAAGAUUUCUUCCAUUCUUCUGCUCUAUCAUUCUCAGCACAACAUGCUUUUCUCAUUAAGCCCUAUAUUAGGUAUUGAGGGUUCAGGGAUGAACUAAGCUGAUCUGGUUCCUGCUCUCUAGGCUGUAGAAGAUGGCAAGUGCUGUGGACUUCAAAGAAAAGAUUUCUGAAGUGUCAUGUUAUGACAAUUGUGAUGCUUCAAACUAUGUUGACUAUUCAUUUACAGCAUAAAGAAGAGUGAGCCACUUUAUCACUGCAGUAAUUAUAUUUUAAAAAUAAAGAAAAUAAAACAAAUGGAGUUUCCCACCCAAUCCAUGGAGACACAGACACGAAGUCUUACUAUAGAUGUGUGGCCAAUCCUUACAUUGCUUUUAUUACAAGCCUGGAAAUGACAAUAAAAUACAUGAACUUGAGAGUAUAUA
RNAcentral lists this long non-coding RNA (899 nucleotides) under Homo sapiens (human). RNAcentral describes it as "HSALNT0393732". The record is from RNAcentral. Lineage: Eukaryota; Metazoa; Chordata; Mammalia; Primates; Hominidae.